GACGAACGCUGGCGGCGUGCUUAACACAUGCAAGUCGAACGGAAGGGCCCUGCUUUUGUGGGGUGCUCGAGUGGCGAACGGGUGAGUAACACGUGAGUAACCUGCCCUUGACUUUGGGAUAACAUCAGGAAACUGGGGCUAAUACCGGAUAGGAGCUCCUGCUGCAUGGUGGGGGUUGGAAAGUUUCGGCGGUUGGGGAUGGACUCGCGGCUUAUCAGCUUGUUGGUGGGGUAGUGGCUUACCAAGGCUUUGACGGGUAGCCGGCCUGAGAGGGUGACCGGCCACAUUGGGACUGAGAUACGGCCCAGACUCCUACGGGAGGCAGCAGUGGGGAAUAUUGCACAAUGGGCGGAAGCCUGAUGCAGCAACGCCGCGUGCGGGAUGACGGCCUUCGGGUUGUAAACCGCUUUCGCCUGUGACGAAGCGUGAGUGACGGUAAUGGGUAAAGAAGCACCGGCUAACUACGUG
Molecule: ribosomal RNA, 468 nt
Filed under: uncultured bacterium
Lineage: Bacteria
Description: partial 16S ribosomal RNA
Rfam family: Bacterial small subunit ribosomal RNA
Source: RNAcentral